GUGAAAUACAAAUCGGACUAGGAUAUAGCUGGUUUUCUGCGAAAAUUGUUUUGGCAAAUUGUUUAUUCCUCUCAAAAAUAGUAGGUAUAGCACUGAAUAUCUCGAGGGAGUAUGAAAAUAUUUAUCUCAGAUAUUUAAUCUCAAAAUAACUAUUUCUUAAAAUAAAUAAUCAGACUAUGUGCGAUAAGGUAGAUAGUCGAAAGGGAAACAGCCCAGAACAGUAAUUAAAGCUCCCCAAUUAANAUUAAGUG
Molecule: ribosomal RNA, 251 nt
Filed under: Pneumocystis jirovecii
Lineage: Eukaryota; Fungi; Ascomycota; Pneumocystomycetes; Pneumocystales; Pneumocystaceae
Description: partial large subunit ribosomal RNA
Rfam family: Bacterial large subunit ribosomal RNA
Source: RNAcentral